UACGUAGGGGGCAAGCGUUGUCCGGAAUCAUUGGGCGUAAAGCGCGCGUAGGCGGCCCGGUAAGUCCGCUGUAAAAGUCCAGGGCUCAACCCUGGAAAGCCGGUGGAUACUGUCGGGCUAGAGUCCGGAAGAGGCGAGUGGAAUUCCUGGUGUAGCGGUGGAAUGCGCAGAUAUCAGGAGGAACACCGGUGGCGAAGGCGGGACUCUGGGCCGAUACUGACGCUGAGGAGCGAAAGCGUGGGGAGCGAACAGG
This 253-nucleotide ribosomal RNA is filed under the name uncultured bacterium. RNAcentral describes it as "partial 16S ribosomal RNA". It matches the Rfam family "Bacterial small subunit ribosomal RNA", at positions 524 to 776 of the family's 1533-position model. The record is from RNAcentral.